GUUGUACCUCUGUCUGGGGAUGAUUUUGGGCUUCUGUCAGGUCAUUUUUAGGCAUCCGCUCAAGAACUAUCCGGCAUUAACUUGUCGAUAGGAGGACAGGAUUUACUUUGAAAAAAUUAGAGUGUUUAAGGAGGCAAUUGCCGCAUAUAUUAGCAUGGAAUAAUAGAAUAGGACACUUUUCCAUUUCGUUGGUUAUUGGAAUCGUGUAAUGAUUAAUAGGGGACAGUUGUGGGCAUUUGUAUUUAAUUGCCAGAGGGAAAUUCUUGGUUUAUUAAAGACAAACUAACGCGAAAGUAUUUGCCAGGGUGUUUUCAUUAAUCAAGAACGAAGUAAGGGGAUCAAAGACGAUCAGAUACCGCAUAGGCUUUACAUAAAUAUUCCGACUCAAUGUUCGACUGGUUUAUAUAACCAGUUGAGCGUUGUAUGAGAAAUAAAGCCUUAGGUCUGGGGGGAGAUGUUUGCAAAGUGAAACUUAAAGGGAAUUGCGGAGAGCCAACAAGGGUGGAUUCUGCGGUUAAUUUGGCUCAAACGGGGAACUUACCAGGUAAAACAAUAGGGGAUUGAAGGUUGGAAGCGCUUUCUUGAUCGUUGGGUGGGGGUGCUGGCCGUUCUUAGUUGGGGAGUGAUUUGUCUGGUUAAUUGCGUUAACGACGAGACUUACCUGCUUACUAGACUAUUGAUGUUAAUCGGAACUCUUUCUAGAGGACUUUGGUUGUUUUAACUCCAAGAAGGUUGGGCAUUACAGGUCUGUGAGGCCCUUAGAUAUCCUGGGCCGCACGCGCAUA
RNAcentral lists this ribosomal RNA (785 nucleotides) under uncultured eukaryote. RNAcentral describes it as "bacterial SSU rRNA". It matches the Rfam family "Eukaryotic small subunit ribosomal RNA", at positions 633 to 1500 of the family's 1831-position model. The record is from RNAcentral.